RNAcentral lists this ribosomal RNA (373 nucleotides) under uncultured organism. Its description in RNAcentral is "partial 16S ribosomal RNA". It matches the Rfam family "Bacterial small subunit ribosomal RNA", at positions 527 to 896 of the family's 1533-position model. The record is from RNAcentral.
GUAGGUGGCAAGCGUUGUCCGGAAUUAUUGGGCGUAAAGCGCGCGCAGGUGGUUCUUUAAGUCUGAUGUGAAAGCCCCCGGGCUCAACCGGGGAGGGUCAUUGGAAACUGGGGAACUUGAGUGCAGGAGAGGAAAGUGGAAUUCCACGUGUAGCGGUGAAAUGCGUAGAUAUGUGGAGGAACACCAGUGGCGAAGGCGACUUUCUGGCCUGUAACUGACACUGAGGCGCGAAAGCGUGGGGAGCAAACAGGAUUGGAUACCCUGGUAGUCCACGCCGUAAACGAUGAGUGCUAAGUGUUGGGGGGUUUCCGCCCCUCAGUGCUGCAGCUAACGCAUUAAGCACUCCGCCUGGGGAGUACGGUCGCAAAGACUG